UCUAGUCUAAGGUAGCCUAGCUAGCUUCUUUGACCUCAGCACGGUCCGUUUAGAAUAACAAAGUGACUUAAUGCUAGCUACUUAUACUAAAUAAUGACCCAAUCCAUCUCCGUGUCCCGCAACUCAAGCCCCCUAAAGAAUGCUACACAAUUGUCAAGACAACCUGCGCCGCGGACUAGUAUGGGAACAGUGCCAGCCAUCCCCUAGUCUCGCACAUGAACUGAUUGGAGCGAUUGCAGCCUGAGCAUGCAGCGAGCCGAGACAUACAAGACAAUAAACUUAACUUUUAAUUCAUUGGGGCAUGGUCGCGAACCUGAAAUCAGCUUAUUAGCCUUUAGCCAUCUUACUUAUUGCUAUAGCCAUGCCAAGCAAUUUGAAGAAUAACUAAUUGUUUAUUGACAGGGAAACUUAACUUCAGCACACAAUGUCCAGGGGGUGAGCACGUUAGUUGGUGCAACGUAAGACAGUCUCGUGUUCCAAUUGUUUGUUGUAGUAGCGUGAACUGUUCCCGUUCACACCGAGGUGAAGAACAGGAUAAUUGAAGGAAUGAAUCCGAGCCUCACCUGUGGAAUGUGGGGCAUCCAGUGAGGCACGGAUUUCAUUGACCUUGUCAGGUGUGAUUGUAGAUCCUUCAAACAAAGUCGGAAGAGUGUUCUACCGAAGGGAACCAUUAUGAAUGUGAUUUACAUCAGGGUUAUAGUUUGAAGUAUCGCUGAUGCAUUCCCAUAUAACAAAUUAGCCCCAUGCUGCAUGCGUCAGUUACAGUGAUAUACUUAUAACAACUGUAGAAUCAUGGUUAACAUACAGAGAAUAUUUAAGAGACAUCUUCCAGGGAAUAGAUUCUAAUUCCAACCCAAAUAAAGUCAAACCAAUACACUCAAGCUAUUUGGAUGUAAAUCUCUCUUUAAAUACACUACAUUACCAAAAGUAUGUGGUCACCUGCUCAUUGAGCAUCUUAUUCUAAAAGCAUGGGCAUUGAUAUGGACUUGGUCCUUUGCUGCUAUUCCAGCCUCCACUCUUCUGGGAAGAUGUUGGAACAUUGCUGCGGGGACAUUCAGCCACAAGAGCAUUAGUGAGGUCGGGACUCGCAGUCGGCGUUUCAAUCCAUCCCAAAUGUGUUCGGUUGGUUGGAUGUCAGGGCUUCGUGCAGGCCACAACAAUCUCGACAAACCAUUUCUGUAUGGACCUCGCUUUGUGCACGGGGGCAUUUUCAUGCUGAAACAGGAAAGGGCCUUCCCCAAAGUGUUGUUACAAAGUUGGAGGCACAGAAUCGUCUAGAAUGUCAUUGUUGUCUAUAGCUAUAAUAUUUCCCUUCAAUGAAACUAAGGGGGCUAGCCCGAACCAUGAAAAACAGCCCCAGACCAUUUUUCCUCAUCCACCAAACUUUACAGUUGGCACUAUGCAUUGGAGCAGGUAGCAUUCUCCUGGCAUCCGCCAAAACCAGAUUCCUCCAUCAGGACUCCCAGAUGGUGAAGCACGAUUUAUCACUCCAGAGAAUGCGUUUCAACUACUCCAGUCCAAUGGCGGCGAGCUUUACACUACUCCAGCCGACGCUUGGCAUUGCGCAUGGUGAUCUUAGGCUUGUGUGCGGCUCCUCGGCCAUGGAUACCCAUUUCAUGAAGCUCCCAACAAACAGUUAUUGUGCUGACGUUGCUUCCAGAUGCAGUUUGGAACUCGGUGGUGACUGUUUCAACCGUGGACUGACGAUUUUAACACGCUAUGCGCUUCAGCACUCGGCGGUCCCGUUCUGUGAGCUUGUGUGGCCUACCACUUUGAGGCUGAGCCACUGUUGCUCCUAUACUUUUUCAUUUCACAAGAACAGCACUUACAGUUGACCAAGACAGCUCUACAAGGGCAGAAAUUUGACGUACUGACUUAUUGGAACGGUGGCAUCCUAUGAUGGUGCCACAUUGAAAGUCACUGAGCUCUUCAGCAAGGCCAUUCUACUGGCAAUGUUUGUCUGUGGAGAUUGCAUGGCUGUGUGCUCGAUUGUAUACACCUGUCAGCAACGGGUGUGGCUGAAAUAGCCAAAUCCACUAAUUUGAAGGGGUGUCAACAUACGUUUGUAUAUAUAGUGUAUGUUUCUCAAGCUCUCUCCUUGAUUUAUUAUUUAGAAUCUUCACUAGAUUCUUUAUUCAUGGUGUUAUGGAGUUAAGCUUCAUUGGAAUAGAUGCCCUUCUCCAUUCCAGUUAUCCUGAAUUCUGUAUGACCCCGUUUACAGAAGCACUUUUUGGGGACCUCAAAAAGGCCUUUGAAUGUAAUGUUAUUGGCACCAGGUCCAUAACCAGGGUUUGAGUUUUGUUGAGAUCCGAAAUGGCUCAACACAACUGAAACCCUUCUAUCUAUACAAUUCAAAAACGUUUAAAUGCUAUUUGGAGAACAGCAAAGACAAGCAAAAAUGACCACAGCCAUUAUCACCUUGGCUGCUGUAGGUUCAUUCACCUCAGUCGAUCUACAAACACAUAGCCUAUGAGCUAUACAAUUGUAAUGUUAUACCCCUAAAAGGGGGGAAAUAUGGGACAUUUUUCACACUGACAUAGCAUCAGCGACGAAACUAAAACCUAUUUCAUUUUUAGAACUGUAUUGUUGGCAUUUCUAUUGCAUUUUAGUAGGACAUAUCUUAUUUUUUUAGGUUCCUAACUUAGUACAGAUUUACUCAGGGGGCCCAGAUCCCAAGUUUUGGAACCACUAACCUCCUCUCUUCUUGCUUCCUCUCUCUGGCUCCUCUGCUUCCUCCUGCAUGCAUUGAUCCUGCCUCAGCCUCACCACUGAGCGCCACAUCACUACCUGUCUCAGUAUGGAGGAACACAUCUUCCGUAAUUAGAAAAAUUUGUAAAUAAAUAAAUGGACACAUAAAUAGAUAAAUAAUGAAUAAAAUUGGAGAUAACAUUGAUUAUAUGCUGCUGUGCCGGGCUGUGCCGCACACGCCCAAUAAAAGCACACCCAAAAAACAUUGUCAUUGGCUAGUUUUGGAACACUGAGCCAGCCAUUGACUGCACCAGGUGGCUGUGUUAUGAGUGGGUCGCAUUCGAUAAUAAGGCAGCGGACUACCGCCAUAUAUUUUUGAAAUUAGAAGACCAAGAGACGGGAGUAGGUAGGCAAGAAGGAGUCGACCGGGAUUGACCAGAAAAUCAUGGUAAGGUAACGUUAAUGAGCAGGACAUUUCUCUACAUCCAAGUUGAGGCUUGCUACCGGCAGGAGCAUGGAGCACUCCAACAGCGAUACCGAGACAGAAUGGUCCUCCUGACCAACUACCUGCGAUCUCUAGAGCAGAGAAGUGUGCCUGCUGAGCUAUGAAACUUUAGAGCAGCACAUCAGAGAACCUGCCACUCUGUUGUCAUCUAUCUGCAGACAGUUCCCUGAGGAAGAAUGCAACUAUCAAGGCUUUCAGAAGCCACAUUUUGGGGAUGACCAAAUGCAAUACAGUUUUGUAUAAGCAACUCAUGUGUAGGGUGUCGUCUUUCGGAUGGGACGUUAAAAGGGUGUCAUUAAUUAAGGUCAUUAAAGAUCCCAUGGCACUUAUUGUUAGAGUAGGGGUGUUAACCCUGGUGUCCUGGCUAAAUUCUCAAUCUGGCCAUCAUACCAUCAUGGUCACCUAAUCAUCCCCAGCUUACAAUUGGCUCAUUCACCCCCCUCUCCCCUGUAACUAUUCCCCAGGUCGUUGCUGUAAAUGAGAACGUGUUCUCAGUCAACUUACCUGGUAAAAAUAACGGUAUAUAAAAUGUACUUAUUUUGUUAGAUUACAAAAGGAAAACCUUUUCACAUUGGUCUUCACACUAAACUUUGACUCAUUUCUGUAAUAACUUAAAUACAAAGAUUCUAAAGGUCUAAAAUAAAUGCAAGUGUUAUGUCCAGGGUGAAUACAUUUUUAUUCAUAUAUAACAGACAUCACACAGGUGUGUCAACUAAAAUAUAUAUCUCAGACAAGAUUAAAUGGGACAAGUAGACAAA
Molecule: long non-coding RNA, 3951 nt
Organism: Salvelinus fontinalis (brook trout)
Lineage: Eukaryota; Metazoa; Chordata; Actinopteri; Salmoniformes; Salmonidae
Exons: 4
Source: RefSeq, a predicted model, not a curated record